UUGGAGAGUUUGAUCCUGGCUCAGAACGAACGCUGGCGGCGUGCCUAACACAUGCAAGUCGAACGCGAAAGUCCUUCGGGAUGAGUAAAGUG
RNAcentral lists this ribosomal RNA (92 nucleotides) under Bacteriovorax sp. Its description in RNAcentral is "partial 16S ribosomal RNA". It matches the Rfam family "Bacterial small subunit ribosomal RNA", at positions 1 to 97 of the family's 1533-position model. Lineage: Bacteria; Pseudomonadati; Bdellovibrionota; Bacteriovoracia; Bacteriovoracales; Bacteriovoracaceae. The record is from RNAcentral.